Molecule: non-coding RNA, 382 nt
Organism: Parasteatoda tepidariorum (common house spider)
Lineage: Eukaryota; Metazoa; Arthropoda; Arachnida; Araneae; Theridiidae
Source: RefSeq, a predicted model, not a curated record
GAAGGAAUUCAAUCAUGUUAAAGUGGAUUAAGAAAGCUGCAAUCCAACACAAUCCAUUGUUUUCUUCAUGAGAGCCUAAAGUUAUCAUCUUUAGGAUUCCAUGACUAAAUAAACCAUAUGAUGACUAUUUUUGGAUGUUAUCUCUUUUUGACAAUGUUCCAUCUGUAUAUAUCUUACAAUAAGCUUGUUACUACAGAUGUGUUACAUUGAUGAUUUUGGACUUGUUUCUUUUAAUGACUCAAAGGCAAAUGUAGCCUAAAUAUUAUGAUGCAUUAAUUGUUUUUGCAACUUCAUUUAUUUUAGAAAGUGCAUAAAAUGGAAGUCAUUAGUACAAUGUAAAUUUCUUUUUUUUUUAUUUUUAAAUAAAAUAAUUAAUAAAUAU